CUUUUCAUUUGUUAGAAAACAUAGUGUACCUUUAUAAUCGUAGCUGUAUGCAAUGAUCCAUCAUGUAUUUUCUGUUUAAAAGCGCAACCCGUAAUUGCUUGAUGUCAUGAAAUGUCUAUAAUUUUUUUUACAUUCUUAAGUUAGCCUCCAGACUAUCUGCAUUGUCAUGGUAACUUUGGUAGGUUAUAAUAUGCAGAUCGAUAAUCCCUGUUCAGUUUGAGCUUUCCAUGUGAUUUUUUACCCAAAUAUUAGGAUCACAACUUAACUUAAAUUAGCAGUAUAAUGUCAAUGGGCGUCAUCUGAAGCUAAUAAGAUGUUGUUACUGAAGAACAUCCCCCUGCUACUUGCACAGUACGUGAAAAACACCCUAAAUAGAUUAAAGAAAUCAUACUUGACUGUGAUUGCAUUUGGUUGACGCUUACAUGUAUUUCCCAUCGGUAGAUCAAAGGGGUAAUCUACAUUUUAGGUCCAAGCUUUCAAUGCAUUUUUCUAUCUUUUUUUCAUAUCCCAGUCAUCAUCUGCAAGGCCGAAGCAUGCAUGUCUAUAUGGUUUUGUGGCACUGAUUUCGUUCCAUGCCAGUUUAUUUCCAGCAGUUGGUCUGCUUCUUCAUAGAGAUUUUAUCAGUAUACUAAAUUAAAUAAGAAACUGAAUGUGUACUGCUUUCACCUUCCGUUUGAACAUGAUUGUCUUAUUUGUGACAUAGGUGAAAAUUAGCAAGCAAGCUACAGUAGGUGCAUGGAUGACCAAGUUUACUUGUUACUUUAUGAAGAUGAUGAUUCCUAAAUAGAAUUACGAGCUAGGUCCUGCAUGUUGAUCGUGCUUCAAGGGUAGAAGAGAAUGGGGGAGGGGACGCGCGCUCCAUAUUUUGUUAUGCACACCUUCCUAAACUAUACUUUUCUUCUUAACAUAUGUUCAUUGUCUAGCAGAAGCUGUAGAUUUCAGCGUACAAUAAUUUCCAAAAUGGUAGAAGGUAAGAACCAUGUUACAUGAUCCUUUUGUGUUCUCUUGAUUUAAAGUAACACGUACCUGUUAAACUCGGUGAUGAUUUUCGAGGUGUAUUUAUAAAUUAUCUGCCAAGGUUAUUCCUUCAUGCAAUUUUUUUCUCUGAAGCCUAGGCAUAUUCAUUGUUUGGUUGGCUCUCUUUACUAGCAGGAAGAUAACUACUACGUGUUGCUUAGUUAUUAGCGGAUUGACUGUAUGAAUGAUCUUGUGUUCACCCAGAGUUAUAGGUUUCUAAAUACUAGGCUCUUAGGACUUAAUUAUAAUGGUUAGUUUUGUUUGGAUUCAUGUACUCUGGUGCUACAGCCUAGGUAAAGCUCCUUCACAAUAGUAUUUAAAGCUUAUAUUGAUAACUCCAUCAGAGUUCAAGCAUUAGGCUCUCUGCUCUGUGUAUUGCUAGAUGUUCUAUAUAAUGCUUUGAUGUUCCUUUGUCACUGUUUGAUGUUCUGCCUUGGGUGGCCUUUGUCUUGGUUUACAACUCCAUAUGGCUACCUAUGUAUACAUAUGUAGGUUUUGUUUGAACUGUAGUCAAAUUGCGCAGAUGUUUCUAUAUUCUUGCCUUCCUCUUUUUAACUCAUGAGAUUGUUAGAUAGUUGAAUAUCAUUGGUCUCUGUCGGCAUUCUAUUUUCGUAGUUUGAAAUGAGUAUUGGUCCAUUGAUAUUAAACUUCACAAUAGGUAGUGGCAUCUUCACGAAAAAGUAGUGGCAGAUAUGCUGGUGAUUUCUUUUCUGCUACAGGAAUGACACUAUUCCCAAAUCCUCAACACAUAUUUUUUAGUAACUGAGAGGAUUAUUCACCUUUGCUGCUAUAGGCAUUCAAGACCUGGCAGGGCUGGGUCAACCGGCCCUUCGUGUUCAAGACCCGGCUCUGAUGAGCCUUGACAGCCGUGCUACCGACUGGGCAUCUUCAUCCUGAGCCAUAUCCGGAACCAGACCAGUAGGGGCACCCUGAGAGAGCACCCGAGGCAUGCUGUCAAGUUGGACGAGUGCAACCAGGCCACCUGCUGUGUGUGUCCACGGUUCAUACAGUCAAGGCGUUCGCUCAUCUUGGGCCAGAACGAGCACUAUAAGGGGAACCGUUUUGUUACAUUGUUGUGUUGUUGGUUAAAGAUAAUGUUUUUCUUCUCGAAUUAUGAAACCUCAAACAACAGUAGGAUAUAACCGUUUUGUUCGUUUUGCAAUCAAAGCUUCCAUCAAAUAACAUUUUAGAAUUAUGCUCCGUCUUAUUCAUAAACUGUGGCUAUUUUGUAGAUUCAUACAAGAUACGGCUUUGUGUGCAUUGAAAUAGCAACAAGUUGGUCUCUUGGUCUCGUUUCUGUA
Aegilops tauschii subsp. strangulata is the source of this 2318-nucleotide non-coding RNA. The record is from RefSeq and is a predicted model, not a curated record. NCBI's taxonomy places the organism in Eukaryota, Viridiplantae, Streptophyta, Magnoliopsida, Poales, Poaceae.